This 497-nucleotide ribosomal RNA is filed under the name uncultured bacterium. RNAcentral describes it as "partial 16S ribosomal RNA". It matches the Rfam family "Bacterial small subunit ribosomal RNA", at positions 28 to 507 of the family's 1533-position model. The record is from RNAcentral.
GAUGAACGCUGGCGGCGUGCCUAAUACAUGCGAGUCGAGCGAACAGACGAGGAGCUUGCUCCUCUGACGUUAGCGGCGGACGGGUGAGUAACACGUGGAUAACCUACCUAUAAGACUGGGGUAACUUCGGGAAACCGGAGCUAAUACCGGAUAAUAUAUUGAACCGCAUGGUUCAAUAGUGAAAGACGGUUUUGCUGUCACUUAUAGAUGGAUCCGCGCCGCAUUAGCUAGUUGGUAAGGUAACGGCUUACCAAGGCGACGAUGCGUAGCCGACCUGAGAGGGUGAUCGGCCACACUGGAACUGAGACACGGUCCAGACUCCUACGGGAGGCAGCAGUAGGGAAUCUUCCGCAAUGGGCGAAAGCCUGACGGAGCAACGCCGCGUGAGUGAUGAAGGUCUUCGGAUCGUAAAACUCUGUUAUUAGGGAAGAACAAAUGUGUAAGUAACUAUGCACGUCUUGACGGUACCUAAUCAGAAAGCCACGGCUAACUACGUG